Molecule: non-coding RNA, 100 nt
Organism: Acanthosepion pharaonis
Lineage: Eukaryota; Metazoa; Mollusca; Cephalopoda; Sepiida; Sepiidae
Source: the annotation of a GenBank genome assembly
GUUGAAACACCGGUUUCUGUGUAGAUCACCGAAGUUAAACAACGUUGAGCCUGGUCAGUAUCUAGGUGAGUGACCACUUGAGAAUACCAGGUGUUGUAAG